UACAGGUUCUGGGGAAUCUAACUUGGCUUCCCAGGCUAGUGACUGAAGCAUCUCCUUGGCCUCACUUCUUUUCUUUGACUUCGAAUCACAUGGGCCUGUUCCUUUAAGAUCACUCUACUCUACAGUGUUUUUGCCCUUGGGACUCGAGGCGACAAUCUCUCUGAAUCCUGUUGGAUUAACCCCUCCUGAUAUCUGUGACAAGGGAAAAGAGGGCAAUGAAGUGAGACAGCAUUUGCAAGUUUAAGAGGGCUCAGUUCUGCUGACAACCAAGGUGAGUUGCCUUGCCUUUCACAUAGCAAGGUACUUGAAGCUAUGCUUUUGCCUUCUUGCUCUGUGACU
Molecule: long non-coding RNA, 339 nt
Filed under: Mus spicilegus (steppe mouse)
Lineage: Eukaryota; Metazoa; Chordata; Mammalia; Rodentia; Muridae
Description: lncRNA (ENSMSIG00000025728.1)
Source: RNAcentral